Molecule: ribosomal RNA, 348 nt
Filed under: uncultured Helicobacter sp.
Lineage: Bacteria; Pseudomonadati; Campylobacterota; Epsilonproteobacteria; Campylobacterales; Helicobacteraceae
Description: bacterial SSU rRNA
Rfam family: Bacterial small subunit ribosomal RNA
Source: RNAcentral
AAGUGGAUUAGUGGCGCACGGGUGAGUAACGCAUAGGUAACAUGCCCUUUAGUCUGGGAUAGCCACUGGAAACGGUGAUUAAUACUGGAUACUCCCUACGGGGGAAAGUUUUUCGCUAAAGGAUUGGCCUAUGUCCUAUCAGCUUGUUGGUGAGGUAAUGGCUCACCAAGGCUAUGACGGGUAUCCGGCCUGAGAGGGUGAUCGGACACACUGGAACUGAGACACGGUCCAGACUCCUACGGGAGGCAGCAGUAGGGAAUAUUGCUCAAUGGGGGAAACCCUGAAGCAGCAACGCCGCGUGGAGGAUGAAGGUUUUAGGAUUGUAAACUCCUUUUGUAAGAGAAGAUU